GUCACCCCCACCCCCUGCCAUUUAAAAAAGUUCUAAUAUCUUGUAAGUGGUCAAGAUCCCCACCCCUAAACCAUAUAUAUUCUGUUUUGUCAUGAUAAAGCACAUCAAAUGAAAUACAGGGUUAGUCCCCAGGGGCCACCCCCACCCCCUGCCAUUUAAGAAAGUUCUAAUACCUUGUAAGUGGUCAAGAUCCCCACUCCUAAACCAUAUAUAUUCUGGUUUGUCAUGCUUAGAUGGUUUGAAUGAUAUACAGGGUUAGUCCCCAGGAGUCAUCCCGACCCCCUGCCAUUUGAGAAAGUUCUAAAUGGUCAAGAUCCCCA
This is a long non-coding RNA of Mytilus californianus (California mussel), 320 nucleotides long. RefSeq lists it as uncharacterized. NCBI's taxonomy places the organism in Eukaryota, Metazoa, Mollusca, Bivalvia, Mytilida, Mytilidae. The record is from RefSeq and is a predicted model, not a curated record. The transcript is spliced from 3 exons.